RNAcentral lists this ribosomal RNA (253 nucleotides) under uncultured bacterium. RNAcentral's name for it is "partial 16S ribosomal RNA". It matches the Rfam family "Bacterial small subunit ribosomal RNA", at positions 524 to 776 of the family's 1533-position model. The record is from RNAcentral.
UACGUAGGGGGCUAGCGUUGUCCGGAAUCAUUGGGCGUAAAGCGCGCGUAGGCGGCCAGAUAAGUCCGGUGUGAAAGUCAAAGGCUCAACCUUUGAAUGCCGCUGGAAACUGUCUGGCUUGAGUCCGGAAGGGGCGAGUGGAAUUCCUGGUGUAGCGGUGAAAUGCGCAGAUAUCAGGAGGAACACCAAUGGCGAAGGCGGCAUUCUGGACCGAAACUGACGCUGAGGCGCGAAAGCCAGGGGAGCAAACGGG